RNAcentral lists this ribosomal RNA (494 nucleotides) under uncultured bacterium. RNAcentral describes it as "partial 16S ribosomal RNA". It matches the Rfam family "Bacterial small subunit ribosomal RNA", at positions 28 to 507 of the family's 1533-position model. The record is from RNAcentral.
GACGAACGCUGGCGGCGUGCUUAACACAUGCAAGUCGAACGGUGGGGCGCCAUCCUUUUUGGUGGGUGUGGAGGAGUGGCGAACGGGGGAGUAACACGAUAGUAACCUUCCCCCUUCUUGUGGAUAACCGCAUGAAAGUGUUGCUAAUACGGGAUAUUCUGGGCCUGUCGCAUGAUGGGUGUGGGAAGGUUAUUCUUUCGGUGGGGGAUGGCCUCGCGUCCUAUCAGCUUGUUGGUGGGGUGAUGGCCUACCAAGGCGGUGAAGGGUAGCCGGCCUGAGAGGGUGGGCGGUCACAGUGGUACUGGGCGACGGCGAAGACUCCUACGGGAAGCAGCAGUGGGGAAUAUCGGACAGUGGGAGGAAGCCUGAUGCAGCGACGCCGCGGGAGGGAUGGUGUACUUCGGGUUGAGAACCUCUUUCGCCAGUGAAGCAGGCCUGCAGCGUCUGUGCGUGGCUUGACGGUACCUGGUUAAGAAGCGCCGGCUAACUACGUG